Molecule: long non-coding RNA, 4919 nt
Filed under: Xyrichtys novacula (pearly razorfish)
Lineage: Eukaryota; Metazoa; Chordata; Actinopteri; Labriformes; Labridae
Source: RNAcentral
UGUUGAUGGCUGGACAUUGCAUCAUCCUAGAAAACUUGGAGGCCAGUGAGGACAAAAAUAAAAAGUUAAGGGUGUAGAUUGCCCUGAGCAAAUUUGGUAUCGGUGGGACGAAAGCCUUAGGAGGAGAUAGCCACAUUCCAAUGUGUGCGAAUCGGCAAAAAAUGCGAAAUAGCCCUUUAACCGUACAUUAUACAGAUACGCGCUCUUUGACUUUUUCGUAGAUCUAAUUGAGAUACACAUGAUUGUCAAUUUUUGUGUCAAUAUGACAAAGCGUUCAGGCGUGACACUCAACAAUGUGUAUUUUUAUGUAAGGGGACAAGAAAAAAUUGACUUUUUUCUCCUACCAUGGGGGGGCGCUCUUUUGGGGAGUAAAAAUUCCUUCACAAAUGUGUUGAUGGCUGGACAUUGCAUCAUCCUAGAAAACUUGGAGGCCAGUGAGGACAAAAAUAAAAAGUUAUAAAACAUUUAAGAAUGUGGAUUUUUGGGUUAUUUUUGGCGCCCCCUAGAACCUAAACCGUGGGGUGCAGCGUCAUGAUUUUGAUAACUUUUAAUGGCCAUGGGGUGUAGAUUGGCCUGAGCAAAUGUGGUGCCGGUGGAACGAAAGCCUUAGGAGGAGUUAGCCACAUUCCAAUGUGUGCGGAUCGGCAAAAAAUGCGGAAUAACCCUUUAACUGUACAUUUGACAGAUACGCGCGCAUUGACUUUUUUGUAGAUCUUAUUGAGUUACAUGUGUGUGUCAAUUUUUGUGUCAUUUUGACAAAGCGUAUAGGCGUGACACUCAACAAUGUGUAUUUUCACCUUAGGGGACAAGAAAAAAUGGACUUUUUUCUCCUGCCAUGGGGGGGCGCUCUUUUGGGGAGUAAAAAUUCCUUCACAAAUGUGUUGAUGGCUGGACAUUGCAUCAUCCUAGAAAACUUGGAGGCCAGUGAGGACAAAAAUAAAAAGUUAUAAGACUUUUAAAUAUGUGGAUUUUAGUGUUAUCUUUGGCGCCCCCUAGAACCUAAACCUUGGGGUGCAGCGUCAUGAUUUUGAUAACUUUUAAUGGCCACGGGGUGUAGAUUGGCCUGAGCAAAUGUGGUGCCGGUGGAACGAAAGCCUUCGGAGGAGUUAGCGAAAUUCCAAUGUGUGCGGAUCGGCAAAAAAUGCGAAAUAACCCUUUAACCGUAAUUUUGACAGAUACGGCCGCACUGACUUUUUUGUAGAUCUUAUUGAGAUACAUGUGUGUGUCAAUUUUUGUGUCAAUAUGACAAAGCGUACAGGCGUGACAGUCAAUAGUGUGAAUUUCCACCUGAGGGGGCGCUAUGGAGCCAUUUUGCAUUUUCUUGUUUUGGCGACUUCAGAAUAUCGAAUUUUUCACCAGGCCCGGUCGUCCUGCCAAUUUUCAUGAGUUUUCGCCAGUGGGAAGUGGGCCAUUUUCCAGUUCAAAGGGGAGGAAAAAGAAAAAAGAAAGAAAGAAACAAAGAAAAACCACUUGGGGAAUAAUAGGGCCUACGCCCGGCUGCUCUGCAGCUGGCUCGGGCCCUAACUAGGACCCCGUUGGGGCACUGGCGGGCCCGAGCUGUGUCGCAUCCCCCCCCCCCAACGCGCUUCCUCCCCGUCCCAUUUGUGUCCUCUGGCCAUCGCCCUCUCUGGUAACGCCCAUCACUGCAAAGACCCUUUUCCUUCAUCGGCGUUUGCUGUUCUUCCUUCCAGUGCGUGUUGCUUUCACUUACACUUGCCACAGCCAGCCUCGUGAGUGCCUAGCCUAUUGGAUAUCACUGUCACCUACACAGGACAGUCAUUACCUUUCUAUUAAUACUUUGUUUUUUAAUUUCACAUUAAUUUCCAUAUUGUAUAAACAACUGGAAAAAACUUGAGCCCCUGCCCCUGUAUAAUCAUGUGCACGUCUCUGUUCUAGCUGUAAGGUGAAUCUUCACUGCUCAUGUUCUCCUCAGAAGUAGUCACCUCACUCCCCUCAGGUUACUGUACACAUGCACCAACUGCCUGCUUCAGGUUUGGAUGGAGCUUCAUGGUUGUCUUUUGGAGAAAUGACCAGUCAAGUUGUGUUUGAAAUUUGAUUUUUUUCAGGGGCAAAAGGAGCCUCUGCAUUCUUGUCAAAUAUGUAAAUAGCAUGUUUUUGCAGGUGCUAAAAACCAGACUCUGAGUGUGUGUGUGCGUGUGUGUGUGUGUCUGUGUGUGUGUGUGUGUCUGUGUGUGUGUGUGCGUUCAAGUCACAUGACAUAUUUAACCGGAUGUAGCUGCAAGACGGAGCCUCGUUGACUCUCCGUUUCAACUUAUCUCAAAAGUGAGGACCUCAACCUAUAUACCAGUUUUUAAAUUGUGUUGAUAGGCCAAAUAAAACCAGAGUUAUGAUAAAUUAUGUCCGCGAUACUUGUUUUCUGCUUAUUUUGAUCACGUUCGGCGCUCAAUCGCGCUGUAUGAGACAGGAAAACAUAGCAUGCAGACAUUAGCGACAGGUCUUACAGGCGGAAAAGGCUUGCCAAAGGAAAAAAAAAACACACCACAACAUCUCUCCUAUUGGUGGAAAACUUCACCACAACAACCAAUCCAAAAUUAUAUGGUGACUGAUUGACAAGGGGCGGGCGCUUACGUUCUUCCUGCAAUAUGAGAAGGGAGGGAGGGACUCUCAGCAGGGAUGCAGUCUGGGACACGUAGUUGCAAACCUAGCGACUUUGUUGUUAGAUUCAAUGACUUUUCAGACCCCCUAACGACUUUUUUUAGAAAGAAAGUUACUUUUAUCGACUUAAUCUGGAGUUUAGAGACUCUGACAUGAAGCAGGCUUUCCUUACUGAGGAGUUAGCAACGCUGCUAAGGGUGCAGAGCCACACAUGCGCUCCGAGCUCUGCAUGGGAGACUGAAGCUGACAGAGCUGCAGCAGUUAGCAGGUUUCACCCUCAGAGACCACCAGGGGUUCAUGUUGAGGCAUUUUCAGUUUUUUUUUUUUUUUUGCCAUAGACACUGUCAGCACAAUCUGCAGUUACACUAACAAAAAUGCUGCAAAAAACAAAGAAUUAUGGAAAAAUUACACAUGGACUAACAUAGAGGAGGAUCUACACAAGUUUUUUACAUCAUGUUUUACAUCAUGCAUCAUUUACAUCAUGUUUUUUUGUAGUGGCAUAAAUAAAAAGUGACAUUUGUGAGACUAUACAGUGUUUUGUAAAUAAUUUUACAAAGAACACCUGGGCCAUUGCCUGCAUUUUGAUGUAAAUAGAGGUAAAUUACUAUGUUCUUUGUUAAAAAUUUGCAUAUGUUUUGAAGUUUACAAUUUUUAUUUGAAGUUUAAGUUUUAAAAACAGUUCAUCACACAUAUUUGUGGUUUUCACAGUAAAAACGUUACUUUUUUCCACUCGGAUUUUAUGUUUUGUGUGUGAAUUUGGGUCCAAUGUGUAAAUAUAGUAUGUCAAAAUGAUAAAAUAACUGUAAAUUGACACAGGUGAGGUUGUGCUGAAAAAAAUGAUACCAGGCAAGGCAAGGUAAAAAUUUUGUAAGAGGAAAUAUAAAGGUAAAAUCUAAAGUAGUCAAAAACGGCCAAUAGUGACUCACAGACUCCACAGACAAGUCCCUUUGGCGCCACUCAGUGGGCAAAACUACUUUGUCUACUGUAAUGUAUAUUUGGGUCAUCUUUGGCGCCCCCUAAAACGUAAACCGUGGGGUGCAGCGUCAUGAUUUUUACAACUUUGAAUGGCCAUGGAGUGUAGAUUGGUCUGAGCAAAUUUGGUGUCAGUGGGACGAAAGCCUUAGGAGGAGUUAGCGAAAUUCCAAUGUGUGCGAAUCGGCAAAAAAUUCAAAAUAGCCCUUUUACCGUACAUUAUACAGAUACGCGCUCUUUGACUUUUUCGUAGAUCUAAUUGAGAUACAUGUGUGUGUCAAUUUUUGUGUCAUUUUGACAAAGCGUACAGGCGUGACACUCAACAAUGUGUAUUUUCACCUUAGGGGACAAGAAAAAAUUGACUUUUUUCUCCUGCCAUGGGGGGGCGCUCUUUUGGGGAGUAAAAAUUCCUUCACAAAUGUGUUGAUGGCUGGACAUUGCAUCAUCCUAGAAAACUUGGAGGCCAGUGAGGACAAAAAUAAAAAGUUAUAAGACUUUUAAAUAUGUGGAUUUUAGGGUUAUAUUUGGCGCCCCCUAGAACCUAAACCGUGGGGUGCAGCAAGAUGAUUUGUACAACUUUUAAUGGCCAUGGGGUGUAGAUUGGCCUGAGCAAAUUUGGUGCCGGUGGAAAGAUAGCCUUCGGAGGAGUUAGCGAAAUUCCAAUGUGUGCGAAUCGGCAAAAAAUGCAAAAUAGCCCUUUAACCGUACAUUUGACAAAUACAUGCCCUUUGACUUUUUCGUAGAUCUUAUUAAGAUACACGUGAUUGUCAAAUUUUGUGUCAAUAUGACAAAGCAUACAGGCGUGACACUCGACAAUGUGUAUUUUCACCUUAGGAGACAAGAAAAAAUGGACCUUUUUCUCCUGCCAUUGGGGGGCGCUCUUUUGGGGAGUAAAAAUUCCUUCACAAAUGUGUUGAUGGCUGGACAUUGCAUCAUCCUAGAAAACUUGGAGGCCAGUGAGGACAAAAGACAAAAGUUAUAAGACUUUUAAGAAUGUGGAUUUUUGGGUUAUCUUUGGCGCCCCCUAGAACGUAAACCGUGGGGUGCAGCGUCAUGAUUUGUACAACUUUUAAUGGCCAUGGGGGGUAGAUUGGCCUGCGCAAAUGUGGUGCCGGUCGAACGAAAGCCUUCGGAGGAGUUAGCGAAAUUCCAAUGUGUGCAGAUCUGCAAAAAAUGCAAAAUAACCCAUUAACCGUACAUUUGAAAGAUACGCCCGCACUGACUUUUUUGUAGAUCUUAUUGAGAUACAUGUGUGUGUCAAUUUUUGUGUCAAUAUGACAAAGCGUACAGCCGUCAUGUGAAUUUUCACCUUAGGGGGCGCUAUGGAGCCA